Molecule: ribosomal RNA, 1338 nt
Filed under: Triticum aestivum (bread wheat)
Lineage: Eukaryota; Viridiplantae; Streptophyta; Magnoliopsida; Poales; Poaceae
Description: partial small subunit ribosomal RNA
Source: RNAcentral
AUGUCCAUGGACCAUGCUCUGGCAUGUGCUUCUUCUUUGGUUCCCUGCCAAGAGGUGGUUGAAGAGCCCCUGCUGAAUUCCUUGCUCUCCAUCAAACAAGGCCUCAACAUGUUCAUCAUAGAAGACAAAGGGGGCGCCAUUGCCAUCAUGUGCGCCUCCCUCUUUUUUCUGGGCACGUGGCCAGCGGUGCUUACCCUCUUGGAGCGCCGGGGACGGCUGCCGCAGCACACAUACCUCGACUACUCCAUAACGAACCUCCUUGCGGCCGUCCUCAUAGCGCUUACCUUCGGCCAGCUUGGGGAUGCAAAGCACAACAUGCCCAAUUUCUUCACUCAGCUCAGUCAGGACAACUGGCCUUCAGUGAUGUUUGCAAUGGCAGGGGGUGUUGUGCUCAGUGUUGGGAACCUCUCAACACAGUAUGCUUGGGCAUAUGUGGGCCUCUCAGUCACUGAGGUUAUCAGCUCAAGCAUGGUUGUUGUUAUAGGCACGACACUAAAUUACUUCCUAGACAAUCGCAUCAACAAGGCAGAGAUUCUUUUCACUGGAGUGGCAUGCUUCCUUGUUGCAGUCAUCCUUGGCUCUGCUGUUCAUGCUUCCAAUGCGGCUGACAAUGAAAAGAAACUCAGUGAAUCCACAAAUACCUACAAACUUGGGACGGAUGGAGGUACGGAGAGAGGCAAACAAGUUAUAGACAAAGAUGCUCCGAAGGACAUGGAGAAUGGAGCUUCUGCAGAGUGUGACACCAAAGCCGAAGCUGGAACUGCAGAAUACCUAAUUGAGCUCGAAGAGCGCCGUUCAAUUAAGGUAUUUGGAUCAAGCACCUUUAUAGGGCUUGGGAUAGUUUUCUUUUCUGGCGUCUGCUUCUCUCUCUUCUCCCCGGCGAUCAACCUGGCCACCAAUGACCAGUGGCACACCCUGAAAGACGGUGUCCCGCAUUUGGUGGUCUACACCGCCUUCUUCUACUUCUCCAUUUCGUGUUUUGUCGUCGGUAUCGGGUUGAACAUCUUGUUCCUCUACCGUCCAAUGGCGGGCGUGCCAAAGUCAUCCUUCAAGGCCUACCUGAAUGACUGGGAAGGCAGGCAAUGGGCUCUUCUUGCCGGCUUCCUUUGCGGUUUCGGCAAUGGCUUCCAAUUCAUGGGUGGUCAGGCUGCUGGUUAUGCAGCUGCUGAUGCUGUUCAGGCAUUGCCGCUUGUGAGCACACUUUGGGGUAUCCUGCUAUUUGGGGAGUACCGAAAGUCGUCGAAGAAAACGUAUACUCUGCUCGUGUUCAUGCUGCUCAUGUUUAUCGCAGCUGUAGCAACACUCAUGGCUUCAGCAGGUCACAGGAGCACAAAAUGA